ACGGGUGAGUAACGCGUGGAUAACCUGCCGUAUACAGGGGGAUAACACUUAGAAAUAGGUGCUAAUACCGCAUAAGCGCACGGUUCCGCAUGGAACAGUGUGAAAAACUCCGGUGGUAUACGAUGGAUCCGCGUCUGAUUAGCCGGUUGGCGGGGUAACGGCCCUCCAAAGCGACGAUCAGUAGCCGGCCUGAGAGGGUGAACGGCCACAUUGGGACUGAGACACGGCCCAAACUCCUACGGGAGGCAGCAGUGGGGAAUAUUGCACAAUGGGGGAAACCCUGAUGCAGCGACGCCGCGUGAGUGAAGAAGUAUCUCGGUACGUAAAGCUCUAUCAGCAGGGAAGAAAAUGACGGUACCUGACUAAGAAGCCCCGGCUAACUACGUGCCAGCAGCCGCGGUAAUACGUAGGGGGCAAGCGUUAUCCGGAUUUACUGGGUGUAAAGGGAGCGUAGACGGCAGCGCAAGUCUGGAGUGAAAUGCCGGGGCCCAACCCCGGAACUGCUUUGGAAACUGUGCAGCUCGAGUGCAGGAGAGGUAAGCGGAAUUCCUAGUGUAGCGGUGAAAUGCGUAGAUAUUAGGAGGAACACCAGUGGCGAAGGCGGCUUACUGGACUGUAACUGACGUUGAGGCUCGAAAGCGUGGGGAGCAAACAGGAUUAGAUACCCUGGUAGUCCACGCCGUAAACGAUGAUUACUAGGUGUCGGGGGGCCAAGGCCCUCCGGUGCCGCCGCAAACG
Molecule: ribosomal RNA, 738 nt
Filed under: uncultured bacterium
Lineage: Bacteria
Description: bacterial SSU rRNA
Rfam family: Bacterial small subunit ribosomal RNA
Source: RNAcentral